RNAcentral lists this transfer RNA (79 nucleotides) under Felis catus (domestic cat). It matches the Rfam family "tRNA". From Rfam's summary of the family: Transfer RNA (tRNA) molecules are approximately 80 nucleotides in length. Their secondary structure includes four short double-helical elements and three loops (D, anti-codon, and T loops). The record is from Rfam by way of RNAcentral. Lineage: Eukaryota; Metazoa; Chordata; Mammalia; Carnivora; Felidae. RNAcentral also lists the same sequence under 5 other names.
GCCUGGGUGGCUCAGUUGGUUGAGUGCCUGACUUUGGCUCAGGUCAUGAGGCUUGUGAGUUCGAACCUUACCUUGGUCU